This 585-nucleotide ribosomal RNA is filed under the name uncultured bacterium. Its description in RNAcentral is "partial 16S ribosomal RNA". It matches the Rfam family "Bacterial small subunit ribosomal RNA", at positions 355 to 1375 of the family's 1533-position model. The record is from RNAcentral.
UGGGGAAUUUUGGACAAUGGGCGAAAGCCUGAUCCAGCAAUGCCGCGUGUGUGAAGAAGGCCUUCGGGUUGUAAAGCACUUUUGUCCGGAAGGAAAUCCUUGGCUCUAAUACAGUCGGGGGAUGACGGUACCGGAAGAAUAAGCACCGGCUAACUACGUGCCAGCAGCCGCGGUAAUACGUAGGGUGCAAGCGUUAAUCGGAAUUACUGGGCGUAAAGCGUGCGCAGGCGGUUUGCUAAGACCGAUGUGAAAUCCCCGGGCUCAACCUGGGAACUGCAUUGGUGACUGGCAGGCUAGAGUAUGGCAGAGGGGGGUAGGAUUCCACGUGUAGCAGUGAAAUGCGUAGAGAUGUGGAGGAAUACCGAUGGCGAAGGCAGCCCCCUGGGCCAAUACUGACGCUCAUGCACGAAAGCGUGGGGAGCAAACAGGAUUAGAUACCCUGGUAGUCCACGCCCUAAACGAUGUCAACUAGUUGUUGGGGAUUCAUUUCCUUAGUAACGUAGCUAACGCGUGAAGUUGACCGCCUGGGGAGUACGGUCGCAAGAUUAAAACUCAAAGGAAUUGACGGGGUCAUAGCUGUUUCCU